Gallus gallus (chicken) is the source of this 4163-nucleotide long non-coding RNA. RefSeq lists it as uncharacterized. The record is from RefSeq and is a predicted model, not a curated record. Lineage: Eukaryota; Metazoa; Chordata; Aves; Galliformes; Phasianidae. The transcript is spliced from 2 exons.
CCUGGAAAUGAAGGAGUAUUUCAGACAUUUCAGAAAUCUCAAUGACACAUGGCAAUGAAAACUUCAAUUAUUUAUUUUAAAAUGUGUUUUUUUGAUUACAGUAAUUUUUUUUCACUUAGAUUGUACAAAGCACUCUUGAAAAAUAAAGCAAGAGACUGAACCUCUGCUGUGUAGGCUUGUAGAUGCAGAGUAUAAAAUUCAUUUAAGUGCAACACCUGAGGAGUUUUUAAACUACCAAAGCACCCAAGUCUUCCUUCUCCCUUUAACACUGAGAAUAUCUAUUAUUAACAAAAUAGUUUACCACUUACUGCAGCACAAACUCUUUAUUAACAUCACCAUUUUUUUAAACUCAGGCUGUUAAAACUUUCUUUUCUUGAUCUAUACUGCGUAGAUGGUUGUGGGGUGUCCUUUUCAGCAGCUGACAUAUUUUUCUCAUUUAUCACAGAUAACACGAUACCAUACAGCUAUUAGUGAGUCUAAGUUAUGCUGUGCUGAGCUUCUUGACUGAUCACGUACUGUUAUCUCCUCUAGCAUACCCAGAUCAAUGAAAAAAUCUCAUCAUGACUUUCUUUUUCUUCUGUAUAGCACUGGAGAAAACGCCCACUGGUUCUCCAUAUGAAGUAAGAAUAUAUAACUCAUUGUUUCUGUGUUCAACAUGAUAAAUGACCCCCUUUGUUCGGGCUUGUACAAGAACAGGUAACUUAAAAGGAUGUCUGCAGUCAAUCAGCCAAACUUCUGAGGUUGUCUUGCUGUUGCUAUUGAUAGUGAGGAAACGUCUAUCUUUUGUGCGGUAUAUGUCCACAAAAAAUCUGUAAGAAAUAUUUUUUAAAAAGCUUAAACCUUAAUAUUCAGAAAACACAAUCAAUUCAGAAUCAUGGGCUUCCAAUUACAAUGUAAGAAACAGUGAGCUUGUAAGUAGGCUGGAGAGAUUUCAGACUAUGUGGUUUCCAAACCCACUUUUGCUGCAUUUAUCCCAGCAUUCAAAAACCCCCAGUUCUGUGUAUGGAACCUGAACUCUGCAAGGAAAGCAGUUCAGUUGUUGUCCACAUGAAUCCAGAUCUUUGAAUCAUGCAGAUUGGAAGGUCUUAGAUGUACAUGGGCUUUAAAAUUCAUGCAAAACAUAGAUUUUUUUUUUUUUUGAGAUAAUAGCUCUAUUAAAAAAAAAUCUAAAGGAUAACUGAAGUUAAUAAAAUUAAUAAGAGUAACAUGCGGAAACUGCAAUUAAAAAGUAGAAGCUAUUAUACUACAAGGGUAAAUAAUUAAAAAGCCCAAGUGCUACUGAUGUAAGAAAAAAAAAAAAAGCUUAAAGGAAAAAAAAAAAGCACAGACGCCUUUAUAAGACAGGAUGGACAGCGUUGAAGUAACAGCUGAAAAAUGGGAACUGUUUCUGGAACUCCAUUGAUUUUUAAAUGCUUCUAAAAUCUAGGAACAGAAAACAUUCAGCAGUGUCUGGAUGCUAAUACUGAACAAGUUCAGGCUGCAAGUCAGAUUUAAGUUUCUAAAUGAGUCAUGCUAAUUAAUUGAUAUGUCAAAUCUUGGGGCAUAGGAGUUUCUUUGCCAUUUUGAAUCUUUGAAACUAGAUGUCUUUAAAAGAAAUUGCAGGGUUGAGUAAUGUAUUCUGCACUGACAGCAAUAAUGAACCUUCUAGACUUGAAAAUAUUUGACUGGUGAAAGAAAGGAAGCCUUGGAUAGCAUUUUUCACUGCCUUUAAUUAUUUGCAGGUGUAGGAAUUUCAGUUUCUUUGGUACAAUUGUUUUGUCUAAUUGCACCAUCUUGACAUUAUUAGAACUCCCACUGUCUGUGUCCUCCUAAGGUCUGCAGGGAAUCAGCUUUCUGCCUCUAAUCCACUCAAAUUCAGCAAGAGUGUGACAUUGCAUUCAGUACAGAUUCUAACAGUUUGGCUCUGUUGACCUUACCUCUAAGAGAGUCAAGCUGAAAUGCAGGUUACACUUCUCCCCAAGGACUCUGACCUUCAUAUCACUUUUUUUUCCUUGUAGCUUUGGUGGUUUUUUUUUUUGUUUUUUUUUUUUGUUUUGUUUGUUUGUUUUUUUAAGGAAGUUAAGAUAUCUUCAGCUUCUAAAAAAAUAUUUGACUGCAAGUAAAAGAGCUGGUGAUAUGUAGAACAACUUCUCUAUGGCAAUGCAAAAGAAUGUCUUGCCAUCUCCUAUGGACAACUGAGUUCAGUCAUUAGCUGCGUUAGCACAUGAACCUGUAGAGUAAGUUUCAAGUAGAUUAACUGUAAUGACUACAACCUUCAGAAUUAUGCCAACAGUUUCCCUGUGGGAACGUGUCAGGUCAGUGCAGUUUGAUUUUUACGAAAGUAUGUAUCAACUACAGCUAGAACAUACAGAUCUUAUUUACUCCUUCUCAUCUGCAGACUUUAACUUUUUCAUUUUCUAGAUGAAUGUAUAAAGGCUGUUUCUUUACUGAGUAUGUAACUUGAAGUAAGAAUAAUCACAAAUAUUUAUGGUAUGCUGUACAAAUCUGUCAUUUUAGUGCUACAUAGUUUAAAAACUAAUUCUGCACUCAAUUCAGCAAGAGCCUUCUUGUCUUCCUAAACCGCUGCUUAAAGAAAGGUUAUUGAGAGGGUAUUCAGUCAACAAUAGUUCUAUCUCUGCGAAUGCUGUAAUGAUUUUGCUCAUCCAUUACCCAGAGCAAGGAUUAGCCUGAACUUCAAUGCUUUUAAAAAAAAGUUGUAUCAGACAUCAAUAGCAGAGAAAACAAAAUGAAACCCACAGUCUGGUUUACUCUGUAUGAAACUGUCACAUGUUCAUUAAAGGACACCCUGACCUGAGACUGACCUUGACAUUUAUAAACUCAGCUGAACUCGUGAGGUAACAGAGAAGAGUUAAAUCGUUGCUGAUCACAUAUCAAGAGGAGAGGAGAAUACAUUCUCAGACAGCAAAACAGAACUUAAAAAUGCCUUCUACUUUUUGAAAUGUGAUAUGGAAGAAUUUGUUUCCAAACCAGUUAGAGUCUGCAUAUUGAAUACUACAGAAUGUGUUAAGGAUUCUAUAUUUUGGAUGAAUAUUACCUUGCAUCUUGUUCUGUAUAAACUAACUUAGUAUAUUUCUCAUUAGUGAAAGUGGUCAUGAACACAUUCUGGCAUUUAAGGUUCUUCUGACUUGUGUAAUACAGAACAUCAUUUGUAGCCCAUUCUAGAAAGAAAAGAAAUACAUAUCAAACUUGGAACAGUAUAUAUACUAUUACUGAGAGAAAAUGGAGCUCCAUGAACAUUCAACACGAUGCUGAAAAGCAUGAGUUGCAAAUGACAUGGAACUGAGGAUAACACUUCUACAUCCCAGCAGCUGGGGAAAUCCACAAAAAGAUUUUUCUAAGUUUUCUUUAAAUGCCACAGAUGAAGGAUUUCAUAAUUUAUCUGGGGGAAAAAUUAAAAUAAGUUCCAGGGCCCAGGAAGAGGAAGCUUGUGACCCUAUAGGGGCUUCUGGAGACAAACAAGAAAAUAGGAGAUAUGUGGAUGCUUAAAAGUGCAUAUAGAAACUGAUGUUUGCAUAGUCAGCAAGACAGUGAAUAUGAUCUAAGGUCUGUGCUACUGCAUGCAAACCAUUGAAAGAAAUAAGACUGAUUAUGUAUAUGGUCGGUGGGUAGUCCUGAUAUAAAAAUUCUCCAGUUUUCUGUACUUGCAUAUGUAUUCACAUUAGAAACAUAUAAAGAUAUCUCACUAUUCUGAAAUUCACUAAUCUGACUGAUUCAACCAAAUUAUUUCCAUUUAUGCCAUCAGUAUAAUAAUGUUUAGUAUAUACCUUUUAAGAACCUAUGCUCUCUUAUGCAUAAAUAGUAUAGAAAUGUGGCUCUAAGUUGUACACAUAGCUGAGUUUUCAUGCUGAAGACAAGCCUUUACAGGAGAAAUUGCAGUUCUUCUAGCCUAGCAUUUAAAAAAAAUAAUGUAGAUUUUCAAGGACUUUCAUUUGUCUCCUUAUUGCAAUAUACUUUACAAGUGAUUGUAUAACCUAAUUCUCUUUCUCAUGAUUGGGGACCACUAGGUACAUCACUUACGUCUGGGUAAAUUUAUGAAAUGGGUAAUGGCCAUUUUUUAUACUCUGUCUGCCAUAAUCCGUCACACCUAUACAGGCAACAGUGAGAUGACUUCUGAAAUGUAUGGAAUCUUCCAGGAAAACCUAGAAGUUUGAUUAAGGUAAAGC